Molecule: long non-coding RNA, 201 nt
Filed under: Brassica rapa (field mustard)
Lineage: Eukaryota; Viridiplantae; Streptophyta; Magnoliopsida; Brassicales; Brassicaceae
Description: long non-coding RNA (BRAP_LNC002329)
Source: RNAcentral
CCGUUCUUACUUAAAGGGUAUUUUGGUCUUUUUACAGAUUUUCGCCAAACCGCUCUGAUACCAAUUGUUGGGAUUGCGAAAUCCCGUGUCCAACUCUAUCUUAUCUUAUUAGUACGAUAUUGUCCACUUUGGGCCUUAGAGGCUGACCCGCAUGGAUUUACUUUUGGUUUCCUUCCCAAAAGGUCUCGUACUAUUAGAGUU